Non-coding RNA from Salmo salar (Atlantic salmon), 431 nucleotides. The record is from RefSeq and is a predicted model, not a curated record. NCBI's taxonomy places the organism in Eukaryota, Metazoa, Chordata, Actinopteri, Salmoniformes, Salmonidae.
GGGACUCCCAGUCAUGCAGCCUGGACUCUAACCAGGUACUGCAGUGACGCAAGAGGCGGGACUGCACCACUCGGGAGGUGGCUGAGCUGAAACAGAAAGUAAAUAUGUUAUUUUGUUCAGGAUCCAUUUUGAGACGACAGAGCAGAAAACACUAUAUGGAGAUUAUUGAAAAAUAAAUGGCCUGGCUGCAUCCAGACUGUCAAAGGCCCAUCCUGGUAGAUCUGAACCUAAUGCAGCUUGGAGUGAUCAGAUGACAGAAGUCACAUUUAGGUGCCAGGUCUUCAGCAGGCUUGAAACGUGAUACUGAUUUUCAUACUAAGAGGGACCAGGAGUCUGUUGAUUGGCCAGUCAUUGGGUUCAUUUGUUGAAAUCAAAUCAAGCUUUAUUUAUACAGCACAUUUCAGACAUGGAUCCAACACAAUGGCUUCAUA